UCGCCGAUUCCUUUAGCUUUUUUGAGCAAGUGCUGUCAAUGCCUUUUGCUCUGGCACUUUCACUUCCAUAUAGGUUGGAUUUUUCAUAGAAAAUCACCUAUCCACACUGAGUAGGCGAUUCCCACAGUCGAGUCGCCGACUCCCAUACUGAGUAGGCGAUUCCCACAGUUGAAUUGUCGAUUCGGUCAUCGUCUUCAUUCAUCGCUUCGGCUGAAUAAGACCACACUGAGUAGGCGAUUCCCACAGUUGAGUCGCCGACACCCACACUGAAUAGGCAAUUCCCAUAGUUGAAUUGUCGAUUCGGUCAUUCGAUCAUCGUCUUCAUUCAUCACUUUGGCUGAAUAAGACCACGCAUAGCCCAGCUCUUUUACCGAAACGAAAAUCCAUCGCCACGGUUGGAUUCACCUCGUCGUUUCGGUAAAAAAAAAAAGUAUGGGGCUUUUUACCUUUUUUCACUACCAGUGAUUCUGUCGGUCCACCUCCGGAAUACCCAGAUCUGAUUUUGGGAUUCUACGACCACACAUCACGUGAAAAAAGUUUUCCCUACAAGUACAAAAAGGCAGAAUUUCCCAACAGUGCAAGGAAUCUUUUCUGGGAAAGGUCUAAACAGGCAUCCCGAAAACGACCUCCGGCGGCACGAUUUUCUGCUGAAAAAUUGCAAAAAAUUUACGAUAUUUUUUGCUAAUUCCAUACUUU
RNAcentral lists this long non-coding RNA (696 nucleotides) under Zostera marina. RNAcentral describes it as "long non-coding RNA (ZMAR_LNC003568)". The record is from RNAcentral. Lineage: Eukaryota; Viridiplantae; Streptophyta; Magnoliopsida; Alismatales; Zosteraceae.